This 30028-nucleotide long non-coding RNA is filed under the name Coffea arabica (coffee). RNAcentral's name for it is "long non-coding RNA (CARA_LNC003997)". Lineage: Eukaryota; Viridiplantae; Streptophyta; Magnoliopsida; Gentianales; Rubiaceae. The record is from RNAcentral.
UUUUUUUUUUUUUUUUUUUUUUGUAUGUGAAAUUAAUUCCAAGUUUGCUGGUCCAAAGAAACAAAAGAAAUAUGUUUUCACUAUAUGCCGGGAAAAGUUUUGCAGCUCGGUAACUCGAUGAUUUAUUAGCGUCUGGUGCCAACAAACAAACAUGUCUCUUUUCCGGGAAGAAGAGGGGGAAACAAAUUAACAUUCAUGGAAGAAAUUAGGGUUUGUUUCGACGUGAACACAUUUUUCAAUCAUUUUUUUAUCUCAUAUACAUCAAAUAAUCGCUAUGGUAAUUUAUUUUAAAAUAAAAAAAUCCAGUCGAAUCAUAUGAGAUGAGUUGGUCAAGAGUCGAGACAUUUGCCUGAAAAUUAGACCUACACUACACGUUCAAAUGUGAAACACCACUUGAGUAAAAGUCCAAGCAAGGUUAAAAACCCGGGAUCAAGAUGGCACGAAUGAAUUAAAUUGUAUGUGACUAGGUAGUGGGGUGAGAAGAGGUCUCGACUAGCUCCGCGUUGAACACAGGCUUUUCUGAGAUUAUUAUUAUUAUUAGUCAUGUAAACCCAAAUAAAAAUAAAAAACCAUCUUGUCGGCCGGAAGAGAAGAGGAUUAUUAGUCAGUGGGGUAGUUAUCAGAAGGACCAUCAUACAUUUGUCUGGUUCCAGGGAAUAGAAGAGUAAAACCAACAAUUCUCACUCUUUUCCCGUUUUUGUUUUUUGUUUUUUUGUUUUUUUUUUUUGCAGCAGAGAAGUCAUCCGUCCAUAAAAGUCGUCUCAGUUAAAUGAAAUGAACCAAGCUUGAUUUGUUGACUUGAGAAAACCAAACAGCAGCCAAAAUCCCUCCAUUUUCUCGAGGUGUGUGUACUAUAUGGGCGACUACGUACGCAAGAAAGAAAGAAAGAAAUUUGUGUUGGUUUGAAGUGAGACAAAACUACAAAAAAGUUGGUUUAGCUGGCGGUGGUACGAAAGAAACGAACUACUGUCCCACGUCACAUAUGAAGUUUCGGUGGGGGCGCGUUUUUGUAUGGUACAAUGAACUUGGUGACGAUGAAUCAAAUUGCCAAUUUGCUUAUCACUUUUUUUGAGAGAGAAGAAGAGAGGAGGAAAAAAAAAAUAAUAAUAAUAAAUUGGUGGGGUGUCAAAAACAAAAAAGUCCACACUGCAAAUCUGCAUGGCCGAAAAUAACACGAAAGAAAAGGGGGGCAGCAACUAACCAUGCCAUAAGAGGGUCAUAAUGUUCAAUGCACCAGGAUGGGUCGGGACUUGGGAGGGUAAGAAAAUAGUAGCGAAAAAGGUUUAAAGUUUUGUGGGCUACUGUUUCUGUCCGUUCCUGUUUCAGACAGCCGGUCUCUACACGCGUACCUGAUCCUGAUUUUGGACCUGUCCAUGUAUGUAUGUAUGUGCCUGUGAUAUGUUUUGAUUGAGACAUUCUCUUACUUUUCUUCCCUUUGAAUUCUUCAAUUUCUUCUACGCUUUUUAUGUAGUUGGAAAAAAUUUUGUACCCUGCCCUGGCAGUUUUUCUUUUUUCCGGACAAAAUUGUACCUCUCAAAGAACAAAACUGUAAUUUUACCUCUUUGUCCUUGGUAACUCUUGGCGAUUACUAGUAUGGAUCUUUUGGGCUAAUUAAUUGUCCUCCGGAGCAUUUAUUCUGGCAACAAUGAGUACCAACUCACUGCCAAAUAAUUGAAGUUCAUAAAGAAAACACAUCCAAAUUCUGUCUUAGCUUAUUACACUAUUUGAAGAAUAUAUCUUAAUCCGCACUUUUGAUGCAUCGAUCAGCUUCAUCAUCACCAUUAGUAUUGAAACUCCUACAAUGUAUUGACCCAGUUUUCGAGUUAUCCAUUUGGUGGUGAAUUUGAUUAAUCGGCUUUGUUUGGAUAUCAAAAAUUUUCAAAUAAUAAUAUUUCGCUCUUAUCAUAAAUAUAUUUUUCAACUUAUCUUUUAUGUUUGUUAACUGUCUGUUUAUCCCACAUGUAUUGCAUCAUAAAAACUGUUACAGUAAUUAUUUCAAAUAAUACUCCGUCUAAAUAAACCCGCUACUAUUUUCUUCCUCAUCAACGCAGCAAAAUUUAAAGCUAACAUGCCAAAGUAUAGUCAGCGUUUCAAAAUCAGAAAACUAGGGAUAAAAAAAAAAAAAAAAAGGCUGUUCUACACUUGCUGCAUAUAUGGCCGGUCAGCAACAAAUGCAUUGGAGCACACAGAAGAAGAAGGUGUGGUCGGGUGGAUCAAUUUGGUCCACGCAAUUUGUGUUGAUUAAAAGAUGUGGGUCGAAUGAUUAGUGUGAAAGACUCAUAUAAUUAAUUAAAAGGACAGAGUAAUUUGCAGCUCGUGUCAGAAUGUACGUCCAGAGAAAAUGAACAAUGAUAAUAAUCGUACGUCGAGAGAGAAUGAAAGUCAUCGCUCGCGUCAAGGCCAAUCAAUCAAAACUCAAAACCCAACUUGCUUGCAGCGGUGGUCUGCAUUUCAUGCAAUUAAUACGCUAAUAAUGUGACAGUUCUUACGGGAUUCAUGAAUUGCUCCUUAAUUUGGCUGGUCACCAAGCAGGCGGAAACAGUCGGAGAAUUUGACAUCCAUAUCUUGAGAUGAGAUGUUAGCUGAACUCGUCCGCCGUCCUUGGUUUUGGAUGUCCUAUCCCUCUCUCGUUCAUGAACUUGAAUCCUCUCCAUGUUGGACUUGGACCCCAUGCAUCGUUUUCAUUGCAGAUGGUUAAUCAGUAGCGAGUCUUUCAGUCUUAAUUUCCGCCCAGGGGCCCUGAGAUUUGAGCUCUCUUUCCAUACAAAUGCAUUCAUCAUCAAAGCGUGAGAACAUGCAUGCACACAAAAUUCGUCAUCGUCAUGCUGUACAUCGUCUCUGCCAUGCAAAUUCUGGAGCGAGCGCUCUGUCAAACUUUGGAAAGUUCUGCUCAGUGCACUUAUCCCCUAAAUCAACGUGCAAUUAACUUUUUCGAAUGCGGAAAGACAGUUAAAAAUUAAUACUACAUAUAAUAAUAAUAAUGUGGUUGAAAAUGUAUAAAUCCCAAAAUGCAUAGAAUCUUGUAGGAUUCUACUUAUGAUCAUGAAAGCAUGAAACUGUAUUGAUCCUAGCUUUUGCCUUAUUUUACAAAUGUAUAUAAGAAGAAAGAAGGAAUGGUAAUCCUAUUUGCUCAAAUUUGUGCAUCGGCCACCAAGUGGUACGUUUUAAGGUGCGAUAUAUAUUUGGCAAAACGUCUAUGUACAUAUAUAUAUAUAUAUAUAUGUAUAUAUGAAAUCGGUUCAUUUAAUCAAUCGCUUUCUUUUUAUUAGCUGCCAUGUUUAGUUAAAGAGAGUUAAUGGAUUAAUAGAUAUUUGGAUUUUAACUCUUUUUUAAACUAAUUUUAAUUAUUAUGAUUUCUAUCUAACUUUUAUCUCGUUCAAUAAAAAUGAAUUACUUUGCUAGCCCACACGUGUGAUUUUUUCAUUAAAUUUAUCGACUUCGCUGAAAGCUGAAACUUCGCUCAUGAGAGAAUCAAUUGCUACACUUUUUUUUUUUUGGUGUUUAACUAAAAGCAAAUAAUAUGUAAUUAGAGGUGUAUAAUCAUUUUAAAAGUAUAAUAAUCAUCUCGAAGCAAAUUUUUCAUUUCCUUUUUUCUAUACAUUGCAGUUUAUUGAUAAAUAUUAUCAUGUUAUGAUAUUAUGAUUUUUAAAAAAAAAAAUUGCAAUGUUAGUUAAAUAUCUAGAAUACAAUUUUCAUUAUCUGACCAAAAAUUAUUUACUUGCAUUACAAACACAAUUUUCAACACACCUCUUUCUCUUUCCAAUUAUCUUUUUAUCUUAUACCACAAAAAAUACUACAGUAAUUAUUCCAAACAAUCUCCUAUCCAUACACCAUGAUAAAUAUCUCAGAAUAAACAUGUAAAAAUAUCGUUGAUAUCUCUUUCUUGAAAUGUUAUUAUCCCUUGGUUCAUAACAAAUCAAAAUAAAAGUAUCCGAAAAAACAAGUAUAAAUUAAACUGACUGUACAUGGCAAAAUAUUUUGGCAAUCUCAAAAUCUUGUUCAGGGCAUCGCGCGCAAACUCUCCACAGUUUUGGCAAAGCAGUCUGCCCCUCCAAAUCUUAUCAAUCCGAAGCCGUGACAAGCGGGGGCGCCUUCCUGCAACAAGGCUGCAAAUCUUUACCUUCACCUUAAAGAAAAGAGCAAUCGUUUUCGUAUGAGAAAAUGUGACAUGAAACGUGUUUAUGAUCCAUUGAAUUUUCGCGCUGUGGAAUAUGGUGUGUGCAUUGAAUGUAAGCUUUGCAGGGCAUGACAUUCAGCCUUACAGGUCCUUCUCAAGAAAUGGGCAGAUAUUUUUUUUCCCCCAAAAAAAAAAAAGAAAAGAAAAAAGUACUGACAAAGGAUGAUUAGGAAGGUAGGUAUGAAGAAGAAGGACGGGAAGGGCUAGGAUGGGUUCAGAUUCAGUGGAAGCUCUGCGAAAUGUUAAUAAAUCUUAUCACUUACCAGUUCCCACUUGUGUUGUAGUAAAUCUUAAAAAAUAUAACCAUGGUCCCAUUGGCAUUAUGCACAAAGAGGGCCAAUUCAAGGAAUCUAAUAAGUUGAUCGAGAUGGAUAUUCAAAAAAAGAUGAACCGCGAGUUUGGUUUAAAACACACCAACUUGGACUGUUUUGCUAAAUGGGAUCUUGAAAAUUAAUCAGUUUUUCAAAUUUGAGUUAGAGACCUUUUGCUAUACGUAAGUAGCAGUGCCUUUAUGUUCAACUGCAUGUAUAAAUUGUCCACCUGAUGACCGGUGGUGUACAGGCAAUUUUUUGCCGGCAAGGGAACCAAUUUGCUCCUCCUCCGCAUCAAAAUUGAUUGAUUGAUGACUACAAGAAUCUAGGACCAAUAUUGUUAGUAUAGGAUGCGUAGCAGCAAUGCCGGACUGCCCCCCAGCUUUCAAGUUUGACGAGUAUUUUCUAAAACGUUUUCAUGUAUUUCUGGUCAGUACGCCGUUUUAUGAUUCUUGUGAUAGAUUGCAGCAGCAGCAGCUAGCGGCAUUGAUGGCAAGAUAUGCAAUCGUAUUGGAUGUGUCGAACUGCAGCAUUGGCCUUUCUUUUUUUCUUUUCUUUUUUCAAUAAUUAAGGAGCGUAUCUUAAUCUGAUCAACACUACCGGAAAUGCCCCUAUAUUAUAUAUCAGUUUCUAUCAACUAAUUCUCUCUAUUCUUUGGGUAGGGUUACUUUUAGUUUGGUUUAAUUCGGCUGCAGGUCUUUAAAAUAGAAAACAAAAAUUAUUAAUUAUUACACGCAGCCAGCCCCAAAUGACACCUUAACUUGCUGUCACAUUCCAAAAAAAAAAAAAAAAAAAUGAAAGCUCUCGAUCAUAAAGACUCCAUGAACAAGGCAAAUAUGUGCAGCUGUCAAGUGAAGAGUGUCAGAAAUCAAAAGAGUGCAGAUUGGUGCAUGGAUUUGGAGAUGCUUAUUGCUUAACCCAAAAGCAAAAGCGAUAGGAAUUCCUGCACUUGCAGGUUUCAAUUCUAUUAAAUCCAAUCCACGUUGCGUUCAAAACCAAUUCUAUCUAUUAUAGGUGCUUGCAUGCAUCAAACCUUUUGCGUUGAUUUUUUCAGAAAAUUUUGUGUACAUCAUAAAGUGAUUGUUGAGUGAUCGCUAUCUAAUCUAAUUUAUAAUCUUCUGUGAAGAUGUGAUGGGAUCCUAACUUAACACAAAUUGAAAAAGAAAAAUAUCCGUAUGACGCUGGAUGAUUUCACGUACAGCUAAGCAACUGAACAUUAAUAAAAUUAAGGGUCCGUUUGUUUCGGGUGAAAAUGUUUUCCAGGAAAAUAUUUUCCUCAUUUCCCGUGUUUGGUUGUACAAAAGUUACUGAAACCAUUUUCCUAUGUAAAAUAUUUUCACUCAUCUUAUGGAAAACAACUUCCCUUCCAAACUUACUGAAGUUGUUUUCCGAAAUGCAUGCAUCCCGCCUGUAGUAUGUUCCAAACUUACCGAAAACAUUUUGUAGUAUGUUCUUUUUUUUUUUUUAGUGUAAACAGGAGAACUCGAACCGAAGACCUCUUUCUUACACUCCCUCCCCUGUACCACCCAACCCAACCCAACCCUCCCCUAGUAUAUUCAAAAUAAAAAAAAAAAAACCUCAUCCUGCUCAUCCUAUGCUAGUAAUUAAUUAUGUAUAAUAGGGACAUUCUUUUCUAGAGAAACUUUUAGCAGUGAGAGUGCAAGAUAUAUGUCACAAUAAGCAUUGCAUGUGAUUGAUAUUUGACACUAAAUGGCCAGCAAUUUGUUUAUUGCUUGAGGAGAUAUUUUUUAUUCAUAUAUACAUUUUUCCAAGAUUUUUUAAAGUUAAACAAUGAGAUAAAUUUUCUUAUUUUGCAUGGGAAGAAGUAUGUAGUUAUAAUGUGUAGAAAGUAAAGAUAGAGAUAAAAGUGAAAAUAUUUCAAAAGUUAAACAAACACCAUAAAAAUGAAGUAAGAAAAUAUUUUCAAUAAGCUAACCAAACACCUGAAAAUGAUGAAAGGGAAAUGAUUUUCAUGGAAAAUUACUUCCACGCAAGGAAAACAUUUUACUUCCAACCAAACAGACCCUAAGAAGAGGUUCCAAUGGCGUAUUGAAAGAAGAGAAAACUAAAUUAACGGCAGAAAAGAAAAGCUUUGCAAAAAUACUACUCUACUAUAUGUGCACAGGGAGAGAGAAUCAGCUGUGUGAGUCUUGAAGCACCUGAAAAUCCAGCUAUUCCUUAAUUAACUUGUAAUCAAUCAAUCAAUCAAAUUGCCAUUGAUACUACUACAUCUUUUUUAUUUGGUAUUUUCACAUUAGCUUAUAGUACAAAUAAAAGGAAGGAUUAGAUAAUGAGGGAGCGGAAGGGCUUUCAACGAAACGAAUGUACAGGGCAAAAGACAAUUGCUGAAGACACGGGAAUUCGUUAAAUUGGUCAAAUGGGUUUUGUUGAAUUUAGGAAUUGGAGUUGAGAGAGACCAGAUUCAAUGUAGUCUUCAUUGAUAAAGAUCAACUUGUUUAAAAAUACUCCUUCGCUUGUCCUGGCGCGGGUUGGUUGGAUAGUAUAAAUAAAGACAAUACAACAAGAAGGUUUGCUUGCUUUAUUUUAUGGUACUACUACUCCUACUAUUCUGCCCCAUUAGUUGCUUGUGGUACGGCACCCGCAAUCUAGAUCCUUUUUUGUUUUGGCUUUCCAGCCCAGCUUCACGGUUUGAACCCCGUCAGGCAAGUCAACUUGAGAAAACGAAAUUGGGCAUACAUCAAUUUCCCAGUAGCGAGGGAUUCCAGCAGUUUAGCAAAAUUAGAACUCAAAAAAACGUCUAGUGGUUGAAUUUGUGAACCAAUGAAAAAGCAAAUACCACUCACGGUACGCAUUUGUUGGUUCACAGAAGUGAGAAAGGAAGGUCCACUUGCACAAGUUUCAUUUUUCACUCUUUGGGCCUGCACCAAAUAAAUAAAACUGAAAUAGAAAGGAAAAAGGCAGUGCUAAAUUCAUAGCACCCAAAAAAACAUGAAGAAGCUUAGACGUAAGAUGCUGCUUCCUGUUCUUUAGUUCUAACCACCACUUGCAUAAGAAUGCAGAGAGGAAAAGAGAGUUUGAGAUCACCCCAGUUCAGGAGUAGUAAUCAACCAUCCAGCUUAAAUGAUUAACAAACCAUCACCAUUUAGCCCAGACAGCAAUAUGCCGAAUCUCACUCGCCUCAUCUUAAAUUAUUCAUCCUUUUAGGAGCACUUCAAUGAUAUUUAACACACUCUAAUAAUCAAUAGUUGCGGAUACGUAAUCGCAGCUUAACAAAAAGAAUGCGAUAAAAGUUGCGAGCAUUAAUCAUAGAGCCAGAUGAACCAAAAGAGAGAGAGAGCAUAAGAAACAUAUAAAUCAGUCAGAUGUAACAGGCAGUAUUAGCAUUAUAUUUACAAGAUCUCAAAAUGCAUCCUGUAGAAAUACACAGUUAACUGGUGAUUUUGUAUCUAUAAAGGUGGUAUAGAAGGAGAAGCAUAUAUAUUUUGAAUAGAUGUGGAACUACUCAGCCAAAUUAAAAAAGCCCAUAAAAAUUCUCAGUUCCAAUGUCACUUAUCCUCUUCUUCUUGCCUUCUCUCUCUCUUUUCCUCCCCUCAGGGAAACUAUACACCAAAUGUCAUGAAACAAAGAAAACAGCGAAUUCUCAUUUACUGAAAUAAACUAGGUGCACUUCCAUCAUAGCUCUUUAGUCAUAUAAACCUUCUUGCUCCCAAAUAUCCACGAGAAAAUCAACCAUUUCCUGUCAGUCAAAGAUAUUGGCCGGUCAGAUACGAGCCCUGCUAGACUGAAGUCUAAUGAAUCACCGUAAUUAUAAUAGAACCAAGAUAGUGCAAGAGACCCCCCCCCCCCCCCCCCCAAAAAAAAAAAAAAAAAUUUGCAAGAAACUUACAGAGAGAGGAAUUGGCUGAGGAAAACGCUUGUUAGUCCCCAGCAAGCUUUCGUAACUUGCAUUCCAACUGCAACAAGAGCAAUGAAUGAGGCUAAAGGAGUAGGGACAGUAUUUACGUAUGAAAACGAGAGGAUAGAAAGCUAAGAAGAACUGAAUCAAAGGAAUAAAAUCAAUUCUGACACAUUUGAAUAUCAUAUAUGUUGGAGCUUAGCAAAGCCUGAAAUUAUACUUUCUAUAAACCUAGUAAACAUGAAUUACAUUCGUCCUGAUUAUACUCUAAACAACAUAAUACAACUCAAGCUACGUCACAAGGCCACAACAUGAUUGCAGAAUUUAAAAUUCCACCACGAAACAAGAAUAAGAGUGAGUGGACACCUUAAGAUGGGUUCCUCAACUUGUUUUUGUGUCUCUGACUUUUUACUUCCAAUCCACUGAAGCCUUGCCUGGUUCCAACGAAGAUAGCCUACGCUUGGGAAAACAAGAAAAUUAGAAAGUUGCGUCAUAAAUGAUUUAGCUGAACUGAGAAGAAUGUGUCAUAAAUGAUUUAACUCAAUCAAGAUUCUUCUGCAGCAUGCUUGAAGCUACUUCCUCAUUAGGAACAAAGACGCAUAAGAGAAAUACGAAAGGAAGAAGAGGGGAAAAUGACCCGAGACCCCUUCCUUUUCAUACCGUCAUCAUGCAUUGACCAAAAAACUAUUGCUUCAUUCACAGCAGAAUAGAAACUAAAUCAUUAACACAUAAAGGACGAACUUUGCUACUGAAAGCUCAACCAACAGUACAGAGGAGAUUGUAAAGUAUACUUGCCAUGAUUGACAAAUUCUGAGUGGUUAAUACUGUUGCCAGUGCCACCUUGUUGACUGAGGCUCUGAUUUGAUAUACUGAUGGAUGACAUACUUCUCUGAGAUUGAACCAUACUGUUCUCCAGGUCACAUGUGCUGGUGCUCCAGAAAUCUUCAGAUAUGCUGGGUUUCUUAACUAGCCGACCUUGAAUUCUCAAUCCCUUUGAUGGCUCAUCCACAGCAAUGAUCGGCUGAGAUUUGGUGCAGCAACCAAAACAACCUCUGUUCUGUUACAAUUCAGGUUCAUUAACAUAUACAAUACAUGCCAGAAGCAAGAUAUUCACUUUUUGUGUCCCACAACCAGAACUUAGUUUGUUGUUUACUGUUCACUUUUGCAGUAGCAUGAGCAUUUGCCAUGAUUUGUGUUUCGGGAAAAAAAAAGAUCUGAUUCCGAAGUAAGAUCAUGAUUUCUCUAUGUUGCAGAAGGAUUAGCAAACAUUCACACAAUUACAAAACCUUUUUUUGUUUUCAAUAUUUGUGUAGUUUAUAGUUUACUGUUCACUAAUGCAGUAGCUUAAAAAUUUGCCAUGCUGUGUGGCGAAACCAAAAAAAAAAAAAGAGUAUCUGCUUCCGACGUAAGAUCAUGAUUUCUAUUAGUUGCAGCAUUCACACACACCAAAAAAAAAAUUUGUUGUCAAUAUCUUUCCUAAUCCAGGUGAUGAGCAGGAAGUUUUCAGCCAUAGGUGUACAACAAACGGAACUCAAGAUCAGUUAAUAUUAAGAAAUUGACAAUUUUGGAGAUCAAGACCACUACAAGACAUCAAUUCCUAGCACUCAAAAAUAAGACAGCUUUUGAGCAAUAGCAAUGAAGUUUACCAAACGUGUGCUAAGCACACAGACAUAUGUAUAAACAGAACACCACAUAACAGUUAAGCAGAAAACAUGAAAACAUGCAUAACCUUUUGGCCUGGCAUAAUGGAAGGAGAACAAAGAAGAAACUAGAAACAAAUUUAUCGGCUAAUUAAUGGGCUAAGAAGUCCUGAAAUUAGGAUACUUAAAAGACAGCAUAUUCCCUCCUCCCUUUUAUCCUUUCCAAUUUCUUUCAACUUCUUUGCUUCAUGAUUCCAACGAGCAGGAGAUCUGUGUUUGGCUCUCUUUUCAGAUUAGGCCUAAGCACCACAUUCAAUUUUUCUCUACAGAAAAUUCCUUAUGACUCUUGUUCACUCAGAGUUCUUUCUUCAACGCUUCUUUGCUUCGCCUCAUAGCUAAUCAGCACCUAGCACCUACUACCAGGAAAAAGAAUCCAUGGUUUUACCUGCAAGGACUGGUAUAACUUAUCCUAAACAAAAUGCCAAUUAAAAGAUUCAAGCUCCACGCACAAAAUCUUUUCUUGCUUAAUGCACUAUCAGAAGAAGAGUAUGGUUUAUAAGAUCAUUGAGGCAAUCAUGAAUUACCUGAGAAGAAUGUUACUCUUCAAACUUAGACCUACAGGUUUCAGGUCCUUACCUCCAGUAACUUGUGACUUUCCACAGUAACAUAAGCAAAGAGGAAAUGAAGAAGGAGAGAAAUGGGAGGAGACAAGAAGGUCUGCGAUGUCCAGGACCAAGUUAGAGUAAUCAACCACAUACCAGCACACUAGCAUGUUUAACAUUCAAUCCUUCUGUAUCGCAGCCACCAGAUGUGACUUCAAUACUUUCCAAGCAGAAGACAACAACAGGCUACUGCAUACUUUGGACAGGGAGGUUUCAAGGACACCAGACCAGAAAACUAUAAUCACCAGUUCGAUAUUUCUAAGAAGACACUAAAUUAACCUCCUAGCAAGGUCCAAAUAUACCUACCCUCCUAUUUAUCUUAUUUACUACAUUGGAAGAAUUUUUUCACCACAAAAUGGUAAAUGUUGUUUACUCCAACUACAUGUCCUGUAAUCAUUACUCCUAGCCAGCAGAAAGCAAUUUGCAGCACCUGUAUUUGUCAGGAUAUCGCUCCAAUCACAAUUAUAGAUAAGAAGGAUAUUGGAGUAUUGGGCUGGCUGUUUUCAAUCAAAAUGGUACUUUAGCAUUUAUAAUAAACAAAGACACUGUUUUAACAGUAUGGAAACAGAAAAUGGAGCAAUACUGCUGUUUAGAGGAAGACAUAGAAGAGCAUACCCCCAGUCAUAAUAUUUCAAGUAUUUACUAAACAUAUUCUGCAACUACAAGUAUGAAUUGUAAAGAGAAAGCACAAUCAGUAUUUAGACUUGCAUUCUCUAAUAUAAAUCUACAGUUUUAAAGGCAUUAACAUGUUUUGAAGGAAAAUAACACUCUCAUACAACCAGAAGCGCAUACAAUUGUACACACACCAUCUCAACCGUAAUAGUUGUUGUGUUAUGAUCAUUUGAAUGGUGUCUGAGUCAUCGAAAAAGAAACAAAUUCUAACAUUUAAGUGCAUAAUUCACGGUCUCAAACAUUAAGUCAAACACUGUCUCAGUGUAAUCCUUCGCUUAUGCCUAUUGCAUACAUCCAGGAAGUCAUAAUAGUAUGUAACAAAAAGCUCAGCCAAGCUUCACACACACCAUAUAGUAUAUAAACAAGUCUGGUUGAUCUUACAUCUCCUUUUUCAGCAUUUUUCACUUUCUCAACUAAUAAUAGAUCAUGUUUUUACCAGUUGAUUAGUUUCAACUCUUUCCCUUCAAAAGAAUCAUGAAUGUGCAAGUAGCAGCCUGGAAAAGUCUAGUUUCUCUAUCUUUCCAUCUUAAGUACUAAAAAGAGAGAGAGAAAAAAAAAAAAAAAAAAGCAGAAAAAUUGCAACCACAAUAACCAGACAAUACAAAGGUCCGUACACCACCGCAAAAGAGACAAAAUAGAAGAACUUUUUACCUGGCAGACAGUUUUAGAGUUUUACACAAUCCAGUUGCCACUUUUGAGACUACGACAACGGAAGAUAACGAGCAAAAGGUAAAGAAUAGAAAAAACAAAUUAAAUACGACUGUGUUGUCCAAAUUUGGUAAACAAGAACAACCCAUCCCACUCUUAAGUCUCUAGAAUCAAAACAUCUAAUUAUAACCACAAAAAGAGCCAGCCCGAGCUUUCCAGUAUAAUUCUUUAGUUCUCCAUGCUUCUAAACCAAACAAAAAAAUAGAAGCCCCUCGAAACAGAUAACAGAACUUCAACGGUCAAUACAACGGAGAGAACAGUAAUAGGAAGAGACAGGAGCCAAUGAUAAGAACCAGAAUAACUUACCCCAUGCAAGCAAGAAAGCUGCUGAUCCAAUCAGUGAAAGAAGUGUACAGCAUCAUAUACCUAAACAUGAAGCGGCAUCAAAUUAUAAAAACCCAAUCUCUAUUUCCAAACGGCCCAGAUCAACCAAACCCAACAUCAAGCUCCAAUCAUUAAUCCAGCCCUGCAAACAUAUUUGAAGAAAAGUUAAAAAGGGUCGAUAGUUUCUAUGGAAUUUUCACUGUCAAACAAGCAGAUAUUUUAGGAUGGCUACUUAUAUAUGCAUAAUACUCCAUAAAUACCUGCAACAGCACUAGGAAAUACUACUACUACUCCCAUUACCAUAUGCGGCCAGUUGAUCAGCAAACUGCUGGCUACAAUCACACCUAAAUCCUAAUUUGUGAAAUUGGGCGGGGGCGGAUUGUGAAGCGGUGAAUUUGGGAGCGGGACUGUUUGUUUGCUGGGGUGAACCAACCGAAAGUCGAAAGUGAGCGGUGGUUAAGUUAAGUGGGUAAUUUACGAGAGGGUUAAGUGGGGCCCGCUCGUUGUUAAACCUUUUCUACUUACUAACUUUCACUAAAUCCAGCUAGGAUUAUAGUGGUUAAUUUCAGCGACACGCGCUUCUUCCUUUCCCACGUGCGAUUCCCCUCUUUUCCUUUUUCUUUUUCUUUUUUUGAGGACCCCAAAAAAAAAAAAGAAAAAUAUCUUCCUUAGUAAUUGACCUUCUAUUGCACGAACAGCUGCUGGCCAUUAAAAUUAUUGAGUUGGACUUGAAAAUAAAUUCCUUCAAUCUCGAAAUAAGCAUCUGAUAUCAUAGAGUGAAAUUGUUUUUUUUUUUUUUUUCAGAGUGAGUUUAACAGAACAGCUCAAUUCAAGGACUGAUAAUGCAAAUUUUCAAGCCAUACACAGUAGUACUUUCCACGAUCUUAGGAUGCCAUCUCAUCUGAGCGAAAUAUAUAUAUAUAUUGGUUGUUGAGGGCCUUCGGGCCCUAUUCCUGUCUUUCCUUAUCCUGCAGUACCAUUCAGCUUUUCCCAUUUGGGGCAAAAAAGUGUCGGUUGAUACUCACUCGAGAAACUAGAAGGAUAGCUACAACAGUAUAUAUAUUGUCUCUUGACAACUCGCUAAUUUGGUACACAAAUCUGCUGCAUGAUUUUGUCAAUCUUAAUGACAUCUGGCUUUGCACUAAAGCUUCCGCUAACAGUAAUUUGUGUGCGAAAUGAUUGCUAGAUGAAUAUGAUGGGCUAAAGUUAGGUCCCUGAAUCCAUGGCCAAUCAUUCAACGAACCGGUUCAAAUCAAUUAUUAGAGCCGGGCCGGCUAUUGAAAACUAUUGACUAACCUUUUCAAGAACAAAAAAAGCCCUUUGUCCAUUCUGCUCGUUUAAUUCUUUCAGCCAUGGAUACAACGUAGUUGAGUUUCGGGAAGACAAAACACAGAUGACAUAAUUUUGAUGGGCUAAUAACAUUAUCUAUCACCAAAACAGUUUAGCAAGCUGCGCUGCAAGAGCAACAAAAUUCGAACAUAUACUCCCAUGCGUUGGAAAGUUUGAAAUUCUCCAGCCAAAUCUUCUACUGCUUAGUGGCACGAUUUAGCAAAAUUGAAGCCAGACCAACUCUCCACCAAGGUGUCACAGAGGGCUCAGUCUUCUUGGAUAUAAGAGAAGGCAGACCUGUGUGAACGCUGCUACCAAGUGUACCCUCCGGCUUGCUACUUGUCACAGAAGAACUAGUGAAGAUACGCACAAAAAGAAAGAAUCAAACGGCUGGUCACGAACUGUAUCACCAGAACGUGUAAUAUGCGUAGUGCUAGAGGUGGUUGCUAAAUACAAAUCACAAGAGCAGGCAUACAAUAACUAGUUUUCUCUUAAAAAGGAACACUCAAAAUUGUUAAAAUUUUCCCAGCUUCAAUAGAGCGUGAUGGCUAAGUGACGCAAGUUCACUUGUGCGUUUUGACUAAGGAUCCGAAACACAAUCCUGCUAGAUAUGCAUUCCAUAACUGACGAUGCUGCUGUUGUUUUGACGUUUUCAGAAACGUCAUGAUGUAAAAGUUCAAUUGCAUAGCACAACUUGGUCCUUAAUUUAGAUAACAAAAUAAGGUGCCCACAUUAUCAUGCUUUCUUGCUUUAAGAAAGUCAGAGAAGCCUUGUGGUCUAACCAAGUUGUACUACUUCUCUGAUUUGUAAAAUGAUCAUAAUCUAUAGUUCAGUUAAUCCAGUAUAGCAGCAACAUUGUAAAUUAACCAGAAUAAAAGACAAAUUUACAUGACUCACCUCCAAGUGAAUAAACCCGAACACAGCAACUUAAAAUCCCAUCUCUAUCACAAACUUAUGCUCGAGUCUCCAUUGCAAAUUUGUUGUGCCUUACAUUAGUAAUUUAUAUAGGGUUUCUGAUAUGUAAGCAGGUGGUCUGUUUAUUUUACAAGAACUCAGUCGUCAUCCCUCAGGUAGUCUGCCUACUCUAAUGCUUGGCAGAAAAUAAGCAUGCAUAAAAUAACUAAGCAUGAAAAAACUGAAAUUAUACGCAAGAAAAAAAAGAGCUCAUUUGAGAGUGCAUACAUCAGGGGUCUUGGAGCUUCAUAUGCAAAUGUGGAAAUGCCCUGUCGUUGCUUGUGCUUGGGAUUAACUGAGCACAGCACAUACACUCGACCACGUCGUUUAACAGUUCGACAGAACUCACACAUUUUCUUAACUGAUGACCUAACCUUCAUAUCUGCGGACAACAUAUCAGUCAGGGAAAAUCAUGAGCUUACAGAAUCUACAGACAAGUACAACAAAGUUUCUUAUAGAUAAAAUGCUACCACUGGCGAACCAUGCAACCAAAAAACUUCAUAAGAGCAGUUUGAUACCUAGCUAACAGCAUACAACCAUUCAACAUAGCAAAACGCUGAAAGGAGAAAUGACAAUAUUACAGAUGCAUAAUCAACUGAUCAAUAAGGCAGUUGCAGCACAGAUUACGUUAUUAAUCAUAUUUAUCUUCACUUCAUUCACAUUCCAGACAUAAGAAUAUAAAGUGCCCUCAAACCCAAGAAACCAUCUACGGCUGCUAUAAUGGACCCUAUAUGACCUCCAACAUAGGAACAAAACUUUGAUUUAAUUUCAUAUACAUAGUCAGCAAUUCUUUAGGAAAUUUCAAGUUUCAUAAUCUGUUCUUUGAGAAACUAGAGUUCUUUAGCUUCUCAGUCGUCUAUCACAUCUCAAAAUAACCAUUUCGGUCAGCAAUAAUCCCUCAGCCUGAAAUCCAAUUGAACAUUUAUUGGAGACUGGUUUCUUUAGUUAAAGCGCACAAGUCUGGACAUGUUGUCAAGCUUCUCUCCUGCUACUUCAAGCAAUCUAGCCUCAAGUACAAUCCAGUAAAUAAAGCAGAUAAGUUGAAGAACAAAGAUCCUCAUAUGUCAUACGUACUAGAGAAACAACGUGUGACAAGUAAAAUGAGAAUGCGCGAUUUUUUUUUUAACCAUCAAUGGAAUUCGUAUAUUUUUAAACUUUCCACUUUAAACUAAAAACUAAUAAUCCUGCAUCAAAACACAUGGUCUACCUCACAGCAGAACUAGACAUGCAAGGACCUUUAUACAUGACGCAUAAAUCUGAACUGAGCCAUGAGGCUAUUUAGUAUCAACAUUUCAUAAUCCCACAAGAUCAUCUAUUAAGUACCUUAGCCAUGAGGCUAAAUCCCAAAGAAAACUGGAGCUGAAAACAUUUUCAGGAUUGCCCAAUAUUAAAAGGAAAUGAUGCAAAAUACCCAGAGAAGAAGGAAAAAUGCCCGUUACUUUCUUUUUUUUUAUUAUUGUUUUUCAGCAACAACAUAUUGCCAUAGCUGAAUCUAUAGUUUUUACCAGUCUUUCCAAAGCUAUUAAAACAGAAGGGUUGCAUUGAAAACCAACUUGAAUCUUGAAGGGGGGAAAAAAGAAAAAGAAAAUUCAUUUCCUAAGAGCAGCCAAAGUUUACUACUUAACUUUCUCGUAAACCAAAACCCUUCAACUGGAAAGAAGCAAUUAACAACCUUGGUAUGUGUAUGGAUAAGAAAUCAAAAAUUCAAAAACCGACUAGACGACGAUUUGGGAGAGUGAAUAAACUCGUAAAAAACACUAAAUUAAAUCCAGGGUUUUCGAAGUUAAUAAAAGAUUGUGCAGAAAAAUUGAUCAAAUAAGAAGUUACCAGAAUGAUAAAAGGGAUGUUUAUUGCAAUUUUUUGCUUCGACGAUUGCAGAAACUGAAGAUGGAGGGCGAGGCUGCGGCACCGCCGAGCUAAAAAAUAAUAAAAUAUUAGUGGUAAAAUUUACGCUGGUUUCAACGUUGGCCCAUAGAGAGCGGGCUUAAGAAGUGGCUUCUAAACCCAAUUUGGAAAUGCAAAUGAUUUUAUCUGUUUGUUGAGUUGGGCUGGAGCCCAAUGUUGUAAAAUUUUCGUAAGUUUUCCAUGUGGGAGUUAAGCACAAAAUUAAAAGAUGAGAUUGGGGGCCAUCAUAUUUUGGAAAUUUUUAAGAUUCAUUUAGGAUAUCAUUCAUUCAUUUUGGAAAUAGUUUAUAUUUUAAAAUAUUGAAAUUGUCAUCAUCUAUGAGUCAAAACAUUUAUUUCAACAUUUAAAUAUAAAUUUAAUUUAGAUUAUGAUACUCAAAAAAUUUAUUACUAGAACCGGGAAAUUUAUAGAAGACAAAAUAUUGCCAAAUUAACAUUUGAGAUAUCACAAUAAUUACAGCGAAGCAUCGCUUGGGAUUUCAGAACAAUUACAGUAAAGAAUAAAAAUCCCAAGCAAGAUUGAGAUAUUUAAAUUCGCACUAAAAUAUAAAAGAGUAAAUCUCAUGUAUACUGACAGUGUGUACACAGACUAUCACGGUGAAAGUAUUCAACGGUAUCAUACAUUCAAUGGUGAAAGUGUAUAGGCUAUUAAUAUAUAAGAAGAUUAAUCAAAAAUAAAAACCAUUAAAACUUGGGUUAACGUGUUCCAGAAGACGGAGUUAGCAUUUGGGCCAAUAGGUGGCCGUUAACAUAUAUAUGUAUUUUCCAGGAACCAUCUUAAAGUUGCCGUGGCAUGGGAAGUUGGGAACAUGACAAAAGAUGGAAAGCUCAAAAAACCCAACCCAAUAAUCUCUUUAUUUCCCCAAGAUAAUCUCUUUGCUUCAGACAACGGAACGGGCAUCAAGUCAUCAACUAAUUAAAUCACCACCUGGACUUGUUGGCGAACCAGAAACAUUCUGGGCGUUAGUUUCCCAUUUAAACACGACUGAUUGCACAAUUAAGGCAGUAGAUUACACAAGCAAGGAUACGAUUUGAUUAAAUAAAUCCCACCUGCUGCCGUCAUUAAGUUACAAUAAUUUUUGGCGGACGCUCAAUUAUUGGUUAAGAAGGGUUGAUCCUGAUCUUGAUCUAGCCUAUGGCAGGCCAUCUCCUCAGCCAGCAGCCCUUACUCCUCAGGGCCAAAUGAUUCGACCAACCCUUUUAAGCAGGACCACGUUGCUCUGCACCACAUCUUCCGCUCCCGCAUUAAUUAAAGUUGUUAUUAAAUUAAUGUAAUGGCCAUGUUAUACAAAGAUCUUUAUGUCGAAUGUGUCGAGGCUUCCAUUUAUCUAACUUUGUUUUGGGGGGAGGGGAGUUUUCAAUUAUCUCGACAGUUGAAAAAGAACGUGUCGAGGCUUCUUUGCCUCUCCUUCUUAAUAAUGGUUACUACUAGCGUAAAAUGGGAUUAGCCCCUCUACAGCCAUGAUGAUGAUCAAUUACACGACGAAAGAAAUUUAAGGUGUGUCACGGUUUGAUUAGUUAACCUUGACUACGAAAGGUCCUUUGGGUUUCGUCAUGGGAAGAAAGGAAUAAGAAACUUUUAUUGGAUGGAUUGGCGUCAUUUCUAGAAGCUCUUUCCUCAAGUUAGUCAAGGGUGUUGGGCCAACGCUAUGCUUGUUGACAAUUAAAUGAGGUUACCACAAAGUUGAUGGGGUCAGAUGGAAGGACCCGGAAGCAUCUAGCAUUGAAUAAGAUUUGCACACGCAAUGCCCUGCUGUUUCACAUCUGCGGUAAUAAUACCUGUUCAAAUUCCACGUCUAGUCAUAGGAUUGUUAAAUGGCUCGGGUCAGCUCGAGUUCGACCCCAAAAAAACCUCUGAUUUUGGGUAUAAACAUUAUAUUCGAAUUAAAUAUGAGCUGAAUUUGGAACUUAUUAGGCUCAAAUUUGAUAUAAAUCCGGUCAUUUAAUCUGCAUCUAUAUAUAUAAUUAUAUGUAUAAUAUCACUAAUAUUUUAUAGUUAUGAGUUAUGUGUCAAAAUAUAUAUUUAUAUAUAUAUAUAAGAAAUAUUAAAUAUACAAAAUUAUGUCAAACGAUUUUGAAGGAAAAAUCUUAGUACGAGUAUAUUGAGAACCUUUAAUGAUGUAUUGACUGUUAAUCAUGUUUUAUUACUAUUUUUAUGUACUUUGAAUUAAUUGGAUACAUUAUUGUUGAAAAUUUAUUAGUUUAUAUACUUUUUAAUGAACUAUUACUGGUUUGUUUAUAAUUUUAAUGUUGUGGUCCUGUGAAUGUUAUAUUAGGUUUAGAUUUUAACAGUUAUAAUAAUUUUAUUAAAGAAAUUAAAAAGCAAUACACGAGACUGAGCUAAGCCCGAAUUAGAUUCACGCUCGAAUAUUUUGUGAGUCAAAUAUAAAUUUUACGUUAUCAACCUCAAACUCGUAAUUCAAAACUUAAAAGCGAUAGUCAUUACAUGAGCCAAACCUAAACUUGUUAAAAGCCGAUUCAGAUGGUCCCAUUGACAGCCUACACAUAGUUAUCACUUUUUUUCUGUCUACAUAUGGUAUUACCAUUCAAGACCACGACAACAUUUGUGAUUAAAAAAAUUUUUGCUUGUGGGUAAAACUUAGUCAUAACUUUACUCAAUAGACAAGUUUUCUUUUUAAUUUUAAGAUCAUGUUUAACAGGUGUUAUAAUAAAUUAGCUGUUUAUAUACUACUAGGACUUACGCAUAAAGUACUUGCCCCGGAAGAUACCAACAAGCAACGACAUGCAGGCAGGAACUUUCUAGGAAAUUUGAAAUUUCGAGGUUGGACUUCAAUUCGGACUUUGGCGAGAGGACCAGUGGUAAUUUCAUUCAUACGACGUCAUGAAUAAACUAAGCAGUAUACUAGCUAAUGCCAAGAUUAUCAUGCAUUGACCUAACUAAUUAAUGGGUUUAGCUAUGCUAAAUCAUAGUUUGGCAUCUCCAAAUUAUCUUCUUUUCGAAAGAGAACACUCGGGCCAGUGUGUUAUGCUCCAGGUGUGUGGAAAGGAUCAUUGAACCAUGGAUUCAUGACGACUAGUUAAGCUUGGAAGACAUGAUUGAUUUGUUUGAACUUCCUGCCUUGCAAGUACCCUUUCCUUUCUGUGUUUCUUUUCCUACCAGGUCAGGGGUUCAAAAUUCAAACACAAAAGGAGCAGAAGAGAGUAGAAAAAAGGCGGUAGAAAGAAAAUUAGUUUUUCUUUUUGUGCUAAGAGAUGUGUGUUUAAUUGGUACUGGUAUUAACGUGGCAAGUUUCAUAUGUAUGGUGCAUGCAAGAUUUUUCUCAUUAUAAUUUAACCAUUUUGCAGUUCAUCUUAUUUCCUUCUACUUAAUCCCUUUUUUAAUCACUUCUUUUUUUUUCUUUCUUGAAAAUUAGCUAGCAAAUUUAGGCAGUAGUGUAAUAGGAAUCUAUCACCCCCAGUGGGUAGCUCGGCUGGCUCCGAUCGUCCGUCUUUACAGCAAGGCCACAGGUUCGACACCCACUUGCUACUGUUGUUGGACAUCUUUGGGGCAAGCUCUAUCCAGCCUGGGGGAUUAGUCCAGGUGAUUUCGGAAUACCUCUCUAGACUGUAAAAAAAAAAAUAUAUAUAUAUAUAUAAUAAUAAUAAUAAUAAUAGGAAUCUAUCGACCACGCCUACCCUUAAACUUCACGUGGCUUGUCCACACCUGCAAAGGGAUGAAGCAGUGUCUCCUCACAUCCUGUUUCCAGUGCUCUUUUCUUAUAGUAUAUGUUUAUAAAGAUUACGUAAAAAAUUUUGAGAUCUUUUUUUUUUUUUUAAAAAAAAAAAAUACUAUUUGUUAGGAUGAUUUAGUAGCACAUAACAAAUUUCAGAUGACGAUGAUAAUGGAGUCCAACAAUUAUGGACAACCUGCAGAACUUUGGCCAGGUAAAGACAAUAAAAUUCUAGUAUUUUUAUUCAUGUUACAUCACCAAAAGGCCACAGCAGAUUAGGCAAACGCCAAUCUUCCAUAGGCAAUCUGCAGAUUCUCUGCUGGUCCGUGCCAUACACAAAGUGUUAAAAUUCAUUUCAUGCAACCCACUCCUACUCCAUCAGACCCUUUUCAGUUGCCCAUGCUUUGCUCUUUCUAUAUAGCUUUCUAUAUUUGGCCUCUUUUGACGCGUAUGCCUGGCCAAUCAGAGGCUGAAAUUUAUUUAGACUAAGAACAGCUUUAUAUGCUGCCCCCCAAAGACGCCAAGCAGAACACAGAUUCUAUGAACCAAAGAAAAGAUAACGAAAGAAAGGAGUUGGAAAAAAAAAAAACAACAACAAAGAUCAAUAUUUUUUUUUUUUUGGAGGGCUUGAUGCCACACUAUCAAUGGUCAAGAAUGAAGAAUUAAUCCAAUGGUGCAGACGGCCCUCUUCUGACUACUUUAUACAAUAAUAUUAAAAUACUAGUGCAAGUUAUAGAUGUAUAGGUGUCGGGUUGUACAAUACACAUACAUAUGAACAUGUGAUGUGAUGAGGUCUUUCUGUCUAAGGACUACAUCAAUAGAGAACUGAAUAAACACAGGACUACAUCAAUACAUGAGCCAUACAAAUGUUUAGUGAUACAGAAGGAAAUGAUGAACACGCAUUCACACAUAUAGAUGUGUGAAUUCGUGGAUUAAUUGAAUCUUUUCUUAUAAGCAAAAUGCAUGGAUUUGAGAGAAUUCUGGCUUAUACUAGUAUUUUUUUUUUGCUGGUACAGGCGUGAUUCAAACUCAAUCUUCAAGGUCUUCAACUCAAUAUCGAGACGAGAAAAAAAAAAAAAAAAAAAGAAAAGAGGCAAAUCCAAAUUGUGCAAAUUAACAAGGCAAAUGUUCUGGCAAAAGGAGAUACAAAAUUGGAAAUCUAAAUUCAAUUUAAGCCAGUACUAGAGGAAUCAUGCAUGUAUGUACAAGUACAACAGGAGGCUCCCAUUCAAGAUUUUGACAUCCUACCAUUAGGAGGGAGACUAAACUCUCACGCAACAUGCAAUCUGUAACAUAGACCGCCAUGUGCCAUCAUUUUCUCUUUCGUUUCCAUACUUCUUGGCAACAAUCAGCAUUUUUUUUUUUUUUUGCCAAAUAUAUUAGUAGUAAUUUACAACUAGAAAGGGACAUACCCAAAUAAAAAUUGCAAGAAAAUAAAACUAUGUACAGAUUAAAGGUAUAAUUACUAGAGGCAAUUAGAGCUAGUUCAAUAGGAAUACGUGGUGCGGAGAAGAACACGGUCCCUGAGAAUCCCAUUGUAUAAAGCUACCCUGUUUGCUGGCAUUCCCUGCACUUUCCCACCUUUGAAUGUUGCGGAAGAAGAAGAAGAAGGCGAUGAGGAUAAUGAUUCUGCAGCUCUGUUGUGGGAACUUGAACUGUAAUUGUGCUGCAACUGCAACUUCUUCCUGUACUCAUCGCUGUUGCCAAUUGGGUCCACCACGUCCGCAGCAAAAUGCACCCUUUUCUUCUUUUUAUUUUUCUUCUUCCCAUCUGCACCCCACAACGACAUUAUAUUCCGAAUCUUGGGUAAAUAUACCAUGACAAACAAGAUAAGACCAGACGGAGGGGGAAGUCCAUAAAUAUUUUGCAUGAGAAAAUAUAGUAGACUUUUUCUUCUUUCUUGCAAAACAUGAUUGAUUCGUGUAGAAAAUUAUGCUGAUUACCGAUCAUUGACUUUAGAGAGGAGAAAAGGGUAUGUAUUAAAAUUGUGAAAUUAUGCAGGAACGAUCACGUUACCUGAAGAAGAAGCAGAGGAGAUGCAAGAUCGUGGGAGGGGUUGAGGGGACUGGCAGGGAGGAUGAAGGCAGUUGACCGUGAUUGACAACUGGGAAGGUGGGAAAGAUUUUUGGAGACGAAAAGCGAGGAGAAUAACAGUGCCGGAGACUGCAGCCAUGGCGGUGGCCAAGACCAUGCCUUGAGAACUCAAGAUUGAUGACAUCACUGAUGAGAGAAUAAAUUAAGAGAUCAAGUUUGAGCAGGAGGAGGAGGAGGAGGAAGCAGAUGGUGGUUGAGUUGGGUGAUCGGUGACUUUUUCUUUUCUUUUCAGUUUUCUCUCUUUUAUAGAGGAGAAAACAAACAGUUGGCAUUGGAAUGGAACUUUUGAUGGGUACAUUUAGCUGAGCCUGCGCUUUAAAGUCUAUAAGAAGACAAAAUAUUGUUUGGUACGGCCAAUUUGAAGAUGUCAUAAAGUUAGAGGCUAGUUGCUGUUUAUUAGUAUAUGCUAUAAUAAUAUAUAGUUGAAGUGAGAAAAGAAACAGGGGGCCUCAGGUCUGAGUGCAUUUGAGACAGAGAGCGGAUGGGAUUAUUUUGUACACCAGUUUGUUACAUAAACAAGCACUAAAUGGAAAAGAAAGGGGGAGACAAUCAAUAAUUGGCUUGAAGAGCAGUGAAAGACGUGAAUAAGCGAGCAUAUGGAUUACGGAAAGAAACGCUGAUUUUGGAAUUAGAUAAAGGGAUGAGGAUUGGCUAGUGUGCGUCUUAGCGUCUGCUGGCUCUUCCUGCUGGUGCACCGCACGGCAAUGGAAUUACUACAUAUUCAUUUCGGUUGCUUCUUCCGCAGGGACAGUGCUCUGUGUUUAACUUACUGUGUACAUGAGAGGUGAGAGUGGUCGGUUAGCACUUAGCGCCUGUGGAUCACGCUCCUCCAGCCGUGGCUGUGGUGGUUCUAGUCAUAAAUCAUGUAAACAUAAGUUAGCAAAAGUCUAUAAUUAAAUGGUUUUGACUAUAUAUGAUUUCUUCUAAAUUCAUAUGGGUAUAUUUUUUUCUAAAUUCAUUCGGGGGUGCGUAGCGUACCCAUCUAAUCUGAUGGUGAUUCAAUUUGUCCAGUUUCUUUACAUGUUAAGUUGUUAGGGCAGCACUUUGAUCAUUGGAUAACAAAUGUUCAACCCAACACGAUUUCUUAGAAUUUUUAGGCAAAACUUUUGAGGGACAAGUACAUUAGUAAUAAAGGAUAGAUGGGCUUGGCUUCUUUUCAGUAGAUUUUCUAUCUAUAUUUUUUGCAGUGCAUAUCACGUGUUUUUAUUUAUUAACAAAAGCUACGACUAGUUAAAUUUAAAAUAAUCGUUUCCUUUUCUAAUACAUGUAAUGCAUUCGGACGUGCAUUUUAGAAAAUGAGGAAACAAUUCACCGAAGAGGAGCCAAAUCUCGUAUGGGACGCCAAUGGAACAUUAAUUGUGAGAUUUAGUGAAUCUCUUUUUAAGUGUAUAAAAAUCUAACGAGAAAUAUCAGUUUCUCCGACCUAAUUAAUUCGAAAGAAUGUUAUGCUGCGUUUAGAAAUGCGAUGCUAUUUUGCUUCAUUAAAAAAAUAUAAUAAUAAUAAUAAUGUAAUGAUACUACCAUUUUGCAUGAAGAGACUACAUGAAGCACGUACGACAAAUGCAUCAUAAUCUUAUAAUCUCUCUCUCCCUCUCUCUUUUAUUUCUAUCUGAAUUUUUUCCCCCCAUUUUCUUGCCUUCUCUUUCCCUGAAUUAUGUAUAGGUCGAGCAGGCAUGUCUUAUUCCUUGGCCUUUUUUCUCCUCUUUUUCUCUUUUACGAGGAAGGAUAUAACCCCAAUAUCAGCCAAAAGAUAAUUCGAAAUACAUGACUUGCUUGAUGUUCUUCUCCAGCUCGAACAAGGCAGGGAAUCGAAGUUCCGUGGCGUAAAACUACAGAUACGUAGAUGCUGCAGACACAAAGACCAUCACGACAGAAUCGUCUCGCUCCAUCAUUUGACCAGCCAACUUAAUCAUUAAAGUUGUUUUGGUAUGGGCACUUGAAAAUAACUCGUUUUCUUUCCUUUAACUAAGGCUACGUGAAUAUGAUAAACUUUGCCAAUUAAAGGGGUGAACGCAUACGGCGACGAGAUUCGGAUUUGCGGAAUCCGAUGAACGAUGGAAAUUAUCCACGGGGAUGGAGUAUGGACCAUCAAAAGUUUGGACUCUUUGACGGGCAUAUGAACUUAAGAAGGGUGUUUAUAAAGAACUGGGAUCCUCUCGUGCCAAAUUCAGUGUCAAUCACACUUAUCAUAUGAUGGUAGAAUAAAUUUAAAUAACUAGCACAUGACAAAUUAAAUAAGCAGGACACUUGACAUAAAUAUAGAAGUGGUACUAAAUUGUCACUGGAAAAGUGACACUAACCGUUCAUGGCAUAACACUAUUGGUGACAUUGGAUUGGCAUAAAAAAUAUGUCGCCGAGAAUCCCAAGUGCUGUACUAAAAUCUAAUAUUGCUAUCAUUUAUCAAGGGAUAAUUUCAGAUACCUCCCCUCAGGAUUGUGAUGAUAUCAUUUAGCACCCCUGAACUUUGAAUAAAUCACUUCUAACCCAAUUUUUAGGUUUUCAUAACAUUUUCAAUCCAUUUCAGAAUAAAUUAUUAAAAAAAAACUCAUUUGUGGAUAGAGAAUAUGCUUUCAUUUUAACGUUUUGCUUUUCCUGUGAACCAUUUUAUUUUCAUAACAAAUCUGGUUAAUCACUUAACUUUUGAAAAUUUGGCCGAUAUGAUUUUCUAAUUAAAAAUUGCAACAUGUUAAUAAGAUUGAAAGACCCAUUACUAAUUGUUGAAUCAUUAGUCUACACAAUAAAUAUAACAAAAUUUUGAAAUUCUAAAAAAAAUCAUAAAAAUUACUACUCCAAAAUUUUACAAUAAAGAAAAUAAUAUUUUGCACCUUGAAAACCUCUCAAAUAAGUUUCUAAAUAUAUGGUUAAGAAAUUUAUCUUUUCCAAAUUUUUAUGCCAUUUAUUCGGACAAUAGUUUAGAAAAUUCAAAAAACUUGCACACAAUUCAUAAAUCUUUAAAAUCAUACACAAACAGUUUUGAAUUAAAAAAAUAAUUUUUGGUCUUUGAAAGAACCUCAAAUGAUUUGUAAACAUAAACAUUUUGGCUUGAAAAUAAAUAAUCUCUUUUGGCUUGAAAAUACUUCGAAUAUAUUCUUCAAACCAAUCUUUUUUAACUUUAAUCUACUUACUUAUAUAUUGUUUCAGUCAAAUUUAACAUUCAAACUGGUUGUCUCUAUUUUCAACCUAUUAUUACAUGUUUUCAAUUUUGAAAAACAAAAGGUAGAACAACAAAAGAAUACAUUUGGAAUAAAAACAUCUUCCAAGACUUGAUUUUCAAUUUGAUUCCUAAACUCUAAACUGAGAUAUUUUAGUAGUCCUUGUUACUUUUUUUUUUUUUGUCACCAUAAUAAAAUUCAUAUAACCUAAUAUACCGUAAUCUAGAGGGGUGGAAGAGAGGGACUCGAUAUAAAUAAAGAUUCUGUAAAAAAAGAUUGAUUACAGCCGUCAAAUGAAAUGACAAAUUGAUGGAACGCAAGGUUGAACCUGAUCUCACACGCUAGCUAUCAAGACUUGAGUCUUUUGACGGUGACCGUCGUGCCAAAGCCUAGUGGCUUAGUAGUCCUUGUUACUGGGAAGCGUCGGUUUGACACAUUGUAAGUUCCCAGACGAGAUGUAACAUCGGACGCUGACUUUAAGGUUCAUCGCAUUCAAGAUGAAAAUGAGUCAUAUGCUCUACAGUUGUCAGUCAUAUCAUAUGCUUCUCUGUCUUUGUUGGGCAGGCUCCUUUCCAUUACCCGUUCUUCUCUCCAGUUACCCUCGAUGCAUUAUUAGAUGAGCGAUACAUGGGAUCGAGUGAUUAUCAAUAAUCAUGUUUGCUCAACCUUAGUUGGUAAUCAAGUUUGGCAUCAUUCAGUUUAUCAUAUGUUUAUUGCUGAAACUUCCAUCUUAUCCAUUCAAUGUUCCGGCACCUAUGACUUACCACCAAAAUUUAGAAGAUUAAACCACUUCAAACAAGCAAAAUAAAAGGAUAAAGUGACAAGCCCUUUUUUUUUUUUUUUUUUUUUUAAAAAAAAAAACUCCGGAUCUCUCUCGUUCUUGCUUUUAAUUCCAACAAUCCUACAAAGAAAAAUUAUUUGUUAUUUUGAUAGAUUUUUUACUAACCCACCAUAUUAAAAAGAAAAUUAGAAUAGAGCCAACUUCACUUGAUAAAAGAAAAUGUAAAGCGAAGAAGUCGUUUUGUAUUAGCUUGAGUAAAUUAUUUAAAUGUACCAAUUUUGAGUGUUGUAUGCAGAACUAGUCAAUCUUGAAAGAAAAGGAAAUAAAAUAAGCAUAAAUUGUACCCACAAAAAAUAUUAGAGGCUAAAGGAAUUAGAGGUCCUGAGUUUAAAUCCCUAUUCCCGCUCUGUUUCUUAAAUCCCACCCAUCUUCUUUUUUUUAAAAAAAAAAUUAAAGAAAAACCUUUUAGAGAUAUGAAAAUGCAUAAAUCGGGUGUUAUUUCAGUAUUUUGUACUCAAAGGAAUAAACUUUGAUAUUGUUUAACAAACAUGGUAUAGCAAUGACAAGGGAACCUUUUUUUUUAAUUUAAAAGCAAAAUUAGAACAAUGCGUCAAAGCACAUAGUUAGGGAUGUAAAUACGUCUAAUCAAACUAAAUACCUAUUGUUAAACCUUGUUUAAUUAUUUUAAGGAAUCUGAAAUUGUAUUCAAAUUUGACUUGAUUAUUUUUGAGUCCGGACUGGGCUCAAACGAGCUUCUAUCGAAGCGGAUUGUGAAUAGCUUAAACUUUUAAUCUAUAAGUAAUUUUAAUUUUAUACUAAUGGACUUAAAGUAGAUUGAACAUAAAUUGUUGUUUAGAGCUGACUUGACUAGUUAAUCAACCAAGUUUGAAGAGCUCGCCUUAACUUGGACAUAGAAUAUCGAGUAGCUUUAAGUUCAUCAUUUAGUCUUAUACAUCGGCCACAAAUUUUAGAAUUGCCCACAGAACUCGCAGUUUUGUGCACUACCACUCGUUUUAGGUCUCAGGCACCACAUCUACUCCGUUGUUGUCUCGGGCUUCAGGACUACUCAUUCUUGGUCUCAAGGUCCACCGCUCCAGAACGCAAAAAAAAAAUAAUGGGUACAGCAACAGAAUAAUACGAAUAGCAUUUAUUCUUCAACCAGUAAAAGUCGAUAGCGUUUGUUCUUCAACUAGUAAUUUUUACUACACAGCCUCACAAUCAACAACACACCAGAUAUCAACGCCAUUGCUAUCUCCUUUGCCACACAGAAAUAGGAGAUUUUUAUUUGAAGCCGGAAAGUGGUGCUUUUAAGUGGUGAGAAUUGGAGGGUAGUAAUCAGCUUUGGUACCAAGAACUUUACCCUUCGUGUCUGGGAAGUACUCAAACCCAGGCAGUUGAGUCACUUCUCCAGCAGCGGUUACCCCAAUGGGAUAAGUAAGCAGGUGGCCCGGAAGGUCAUGUCCCAGGGUCUCGCUGGAGUAAAGAUCCCAAUACUUGUCAGCCAUUUGGUUAACCUUUCGGAUGCAUUCCACAUUUUCAGGAUGGAGGAAGCGGUUAUCUAGCAUACCCAGAUGCUCAUACCACAGUGCCAUCCGAAAGCCGUGAAUUUGACCCCUGGCUGGCUGCCUGAUGGAUAGAUGAUAUGGCUGGUAGGCUCCCAUGGCAAUUUCUGAAUCCCUCGCGCCGUCCAUUGACCUCUGGUUGAUAUUAGCAGAUCCUAUGAUGAUAUAUUCAUCGUCAACUGCAAGAAAGGAGAACACAGCACACAUGUUAACAUGCAACAGCAUGCACAAAAUAAGUACUAGUUCUUGAUAAUUUCCGAUUGGCUCCACGAAAUCAGCUUUACCCGUAUACAUAACUGAUGAUCUUUAUACAGGUCAUUUUUAUGUAGUGAGCUUUUCGUGGAUGGAGGCAGGUAUUUAGAUAGGGGAUGGUGAAUUGGGAAAAUUACCAAUCAUCAUUUUAGCGUGUACAUAGAUCAUGAACCGCCUGGCUUGCUGAGCUCUACUGUAGUCUGAAUCAGGUUCUGGAUGCUCGGAAGGUUCGUAUUCCCCCCUCUUCUUAGUUUCCCUAUUACCCACGCAAAAAAAUGUCAGGUAGUCUUUUGGAUUUGCCUCAAUCCCUUUUGCAUGGAGGGCUUGAGCCACAUCUCUAUACAUCAUCUCCAUAGUCCUCCUUUGCCAAUCCAGUAUAGCUUGUACAGAUGAACUCUCUGGAUAGCCUUCUGGCCACAUCGGAACCACAAUGUAAACACUAAACCUUUCCCCUGCUUCAAUCUUACUCACAAUCUUGAGGGAUAGUUCCUUUGGGAUGAGAUGCAAAGCACCGACAACUUCACCCUUGACAUCAUCUGAAUACCACCCAAAAGAGCUUCCUAGGAAAUACUGGUUUUCGAUGUAAAUAAAAUUUUUUGCGCGACGAAUGGCAUUGAUGUAUGCAUCCUGAAUACUUCGGUCAAUGACGUUGUCCUUACCACUUACAAGUCCAGCCCUGGCUGCUUCUUCAGGAGCUUCAGGGAAACCAAAAGCUGCUCCUCCAUCGAUGGAACGGAACACCUGAACAUUCCACGUUUCAUGAUCUUCUGGGAACAUAACUGGGGAUGGAGGGAUUAUUACGCCUGCCAGUUCUCUCAAUUCCAGUAGUAAGUCCUUCUUACCUUGUUUCCUCCACCUCUGCUCAAAAUUCUGCAACACAUCCCAAGCAGCAGGACCUUCGAGCCUAGAGUGAAUGUCAUGCCAUGGCUCUCUUGGUCCACCCUUUUGAAUCGAGGAAUUCUUAAAAUUAGGCUGAUGAAAAUCAUCAUGGUGGGCUGUGCCCAAUGUCCUGAACAGGGAAUGAAAAGGAGUAUCGUAUCUCCCAUCACAAAGAUCAAUACCACCAACAAAACUCACAAUCCUUCUCCUCUCUGUAUUUCCGUUUGGCAUUUCACUAUCUACAACUACAAUCUUCUGGUGAUGAGUGAACAUUGUACCAAUUUCUAUAUUCUGAAUGAUGCUCCGUCCAUCAUCAGGAUUGCGUGGACACAAGACGCAGUGGACUUCAGUGCCCUCAAAAUAAGCCCCUGUUUCUUCAUCAUGAGUGGCCAUCAAGCCAUCCUCUUUUAGCAGUUUUACGGAAGUUCGGUCAUCCCAAACAAGCAUUAGAACCCGCACUCCUUCGUUAGCCUUUUUCUUCAGUAGUUCACCUAUUGUCAUGUCUCCACCUGGUUUUGGCCUCCUCGAGUCUCUCACUAAGGUGAUUUCAGUAUAAACAGACCAGCCUGUGAUGUAAAUCAAAUGCUUUGCUUUAGUGAUGGCAUCGAACAUAUCUUCCCAACAACGAUGGGGCUCAUAAAACUUGCCACCAGCCAGAGGAAUUUUUGGGAUGAAGUUGUCAGGAAUAUGAGCGUCUUGGUAAAGAGUGACUUUGCAUCCAUUAUGCUGACUGAAGAAGGUGUAAGGCACGCCCGGAAACCUUGCACUUUUUAUUCCUCGAGACCAAUUACGCUCACGAGUAACAUCAAAAUACUGUACUUUCACAUGAAUCUUAGAAUGACCAUGGAUAGGCUUGUGGUCAUCACCCAGAAUAGGAAGCCAUCUGUCUAUUUCUUCUUCACCCAACAGUUCUUGAACAGGCAAGUAAGCUCUUCCAAUUAGUUCCGCGCCAAUAGGAUUAUCCACUUUGACGGUGAAUAUAACAUUUGAGGCCAUAUGGGCACAGUAAAUGUGAAAUGACUCGUACCAUCGAGGAUUUGAAUCUCCUUCAAGUAGUCUUGUUCGGCCAACUCGAGCUUUCUCCAAAUCCACUGUUGCAU